GGACUACUCGGGUUUCUAAUCCCAUUCGCUACCCACGCUUUCGUGUUUCAGCGUCAGGAGUGCGCCAGUGAAUUGCCUUCGCUUUUGGUGUUCCCCAUAAUAUCAACGGAUUUCACCCCUACACUAUGAGUUCCAUUCACCUCUCGCAUCCUCAAGUCAUGCCGUUUCCCCUGCGGACCCCCGGUUAAGCCGAAGAAUUUCACAGAAGACUAACAUAACCGCCUACACACCCUUUACGCCCAAUAAUUCCGGAUAACGCUCGAGGCACUCGUAUUACCGCGGCUGCUGGCAC
This 292-nucleotide ribosomal RNA is filed under the name uncultured bacterium. Its description in RNAcentral is "partial 16S ribosomal RNA". The record is from RNAcentral.